Long non-coding RNA from Gorilla gorilla gorilla (western lowland gorilla), 1174 nucleotides. RefSeq lists it as uncharacterized. The record is from RefSeq and is a predicted model, not a curated record. The transcript is spliced from 4 exons. Lineage: Eukaryota; Metazoa; Chordata; Mammalia; Primates; Hominidae.
AGGUCAUAAUUCUACAGGUCGAGGAGUUUCACAAACAUAACUUCUUGGGAGCGGUGUCCAGGUCAAGAAAGAGAAAAGAGAAUGUGGCCAAUGCCCCAGGAUCUUAUUUGGUCAUCCAGGCUGGAGUGCAGUGGUGUGAUCAUAGCUCACUGCAGCCUCAAAGUGCUGGACUCCAGUGAUCUUCCAGCCUCAGCCUCCCCCAGUAGCAAGGACUACAGGGUCCCAGAAGGAACCAACGGUGACCACACCUUAAUUUGAGACUUCUGGCCUCUGAGAAAGAGUCUCACUCUCUGUCGCCCAGCCUGGAGUGCAGUGGCACCAUCUGAGCUCACUACAACCUCCGCCUCCCGGGUUCAAGCGAUUCUCCUGCCUCAGCCUCCUGAGUAGCUGGGAUUACAGGCACGCGCCACCACGCCCAGCUUAUUUUCGUAUUUUUAGUAGAGAUGGGGUUUCACCAUGUUGGCCACGCUGCUCUUGAACUGCUGACCUCAAGUGAUGCACCAGCGUUGGCCUCUCAAAGUACUAGGAUUACAGUGCUAGGAGCCACCAUGCCCGGCCGCCUCUCUUUCCUUUUACACAUGAAGAAAAAGUGGUCAGAGAAGUUAACUUGGUCAGUGCCAAAAACACUGGAAGUGAGUAGGACCAAGCUUUUCAUCUAGAUUUGUUAGACUCUAAAUCCAAAUUCACAACAGGAUCAGAAUAUGAGAAACCUAAGGAACAAAAUUCUAGGAAUCAUUUCUAGAAACUGUGACUACUGAAAAAGCACAGACCUAGGGAAUCAAAUUAUUUUCCCUGCCACCAGCACAUGGGUAGGCCUGCGACAAAUUCCAUGCUCUGGACCCCAGAUUCCUCAGUGAGAAUAGAAGGGGCUAGAGACAUCAGGGCAUUGGAUUUGGUGACUUUAAUACCCACUCAGCUCCAAAGCAUUCUUGAAUGAUGCACGAUUUAUGAAUAUAUAUAUUGAAAUUUACUGAUGGGUGAACAGCUCUCAACAUGAGAUUUUUGUUGUAUGCCUUAAAAAAAAAUUAUACAGAAAUAUGCGUGUGUGUGUGUAUGUUUCGAUGUCUAUGAACCCAUGAUCUGAAAAAUGGCCACUGUGGCUUGUGGAAACCUAUUAAUGUCUGCCGUUCCACCCAACAUCCUCAGAGAAAAAAAUAAACAGCUUUUUGAAAGU